This is a long non-coding RNA of Felis catus (domestic cat), 537 nucleotides long. RefSeq lists it as uncharacterized. Lineage: Eukaryota; Metazoa; Chordata; Mammalia; Carnivora; Felidae. The record is from RefSeq and is a predicted model, not a curated record. The transcript has 3 exons.
CCGUCACGUGGCUGGCCCUUGGGGGCGCUACGGACCACGUGAUCUGGCUGGCCGGGAGGGGAGGGGAGGGGCGGGACUCGCUGCCCCUCCUGCCUUACACCCCGGCUUCGGGGAUCCGUUCUAGCCAGGACCACCCGGCCGGAAGCCGGAGAGCGGAAACCGGUAAAAGCCGCGCGGGCGCCCGGCCCUGACGAUGGAACACAGGACGAUGUGGUAGCGCUUCUCUGGGUCCCUGGAUCUGGACAACAGGUCCAGGACAGAGUGAGAGCCCUGCUCGGCCCGAGUGCGUGGGUCUGAGUAGAGGAAGGGAGCACAGAAUCCCCAGGAUCUGGAGCUCCUUAAAGGCAAGGCCUGUGUCUUGCUCACCAUCGUCCCCACUGCUGAGCCAGGUACACUCAGGAAACCUUCAGAUUAAGCUUUCAGUCGUGUUCAACAAUUUGCUAUAUUCUGUGGAAAAAGAAAACUGCUUCAGGACUUGCGCCGGGGUGUUCUCUUGACCGAAAUGUAUUAAAAUACGGUAAUGGUAGCUCACUUUAA